GCCUCUCCGGGACCCCCAGGAGCGCACUGACAGAGCUCUCCCCAGGCAGGGCAGGUCACGGCAGCAGCACACAGCCGAACAGACCUAGCACGGUUCACGGGGAUGAACCCUAACCUCAGGCUGAGUGAAGGAACAGCUGACGGAGGUGCUACGCAGUCAGAGAAGCCAAGUGAGGGUGUACGUGUUCUGCAGAUGUCGUCAGAACAGAGCACAGCCUUCAACACUGCUCCCCUGCAUCACCUCACAAAGGAUUCUUCUGUGUGCCUGGCUUGUUUUCCCAACGCUUGGCUUACAAAGGCCCUGGAAGAAAGCCGAGUGAAAGUGCCUGCUGACCUCUCCUGCCGACAGCCCCUGUUGCUCAUCUCAACUGCAUCUGAUAGAACACAGCACAUUCCUUUAAAUAUUUUAUCCACUCAGUGAUCAUGGGUGAAAGAUAGAACUAACAAGAAAUGACAAGUGAAAUAACUACAUUUCCGGACCUGACAACACUCUUUAUUUCUAAUUCUACCAAGGCUGUGGGCAGGCAUUAGGGUACAGCUUUUAUGAGAGAUUAAAUAAGUGAUCUUAGCAUUCAAGUUAUAGUACACACAUCCCGACCUGAGAGUUCACUCGGAAACAGGAGGAAGUGAAAGAAAACAGAGACACCCGAACAAAGCAUAAAGAAACAGACUGGACUGACGACAGGAUAAGGUAUCCAACUCCACUAAAUGAGUUACAGCAAAAUCUCCCAGUAAAAUAUUUCCAGGAAGAGUUUUGUACGCUGUGUCGAAAAUACCAAACUGCAGUGGGUUGUAAAUAGUCCAAUGGAUGCUUCCACAGAAAGUUCUAAAAGGCCAUCGUAUCACACUGCACUGCUAUUAAUACAAUCUCCGCCAAAAUAUUGUUUCAAAUCCC
Molecule: long non-coding RNA, 894 nt
Organism: Gallus gallus (chicken)
Lineage: Eukaryota; Metazoa; Chordata; Aves; Galliformes; Phasianidae
Source: Ensembl